Molecule: ribosomal RNA, 484 nt
Filed under: uncultured bacterium
Lineage: Bacteria
Description: partial 16S ribosomal RNA
Rfam family: Bacterial small subunit ribosomal RNA
Source: RNAcentral
AUUGAACGCUGGCGGAAUGCUUUACACAUGCAAGUCGAACGGCAGCACGGGGGCAGCCCUGGUGGCGAGUGGCGAACGGGUGAGUAAUACAUCGGAACGUGCCCGGUCGUGGGGGAUAACGUAGCGAAAGUUACGCUAAUACCGCAUACGAUCUGAGGAUGAAAGCGGGGGACCUUCGGGCCUCGCGCGAUCGGAGCGGCCGAUGUCAGAUUAGGUAGUUGGUGGGGUAAAGGCCUACCAAGCCGACGAUCUGUAGCUGGUCUGAGAGGACGACCAGCCACACUGGGACUGAGACACGGCCCAGCCUCCUACGGGAGGCAGCAGUGGGGAAUUUUGGACAAUGGGCGCAAGCCUGAUCCAGCCAUUCCGCGUGCAGGACGAAGGCCUUCGGGUUGUAAACUGCUCUUGUACGGAACGAAAAGGCUCUGGCUAAUACCUGGGGCUCAUGACGGUACCGUAAGAAUAAGCACCGGCUAACUACGUG